This 2141-nucleotide ribosomal RNA is filed under the name Serratia marcescens. Its description in RNAcentral is "partial 23S ribosomal RNA". It matches the Rfam family "Bacterial large subunit ribosomal RNA", at positions 697 to 2816 of the family's 2925-position model. Lineage: Bacteria; Pseudomonadati; Pseudomonadota; Gammaproteobacteria; Enterobacterales; Yersiniaceae. The record is from RNAcentral.
UAGUUGCAAGGUAUAGACCCGAAACCCGGUGAUCUAGCCAUGGGCAGGUUGAAGGUUGGGUAACACUAACUGGAGGACCGAACCGACUAAUGUUGAAAAAUUAGCGGAUGACUUGUGGCUGGGGGUGAAAGGCCAAUCAAACCGGGAGAUAGCUGGUUCUCCCCGAAAGCUAUUUAGGUAGCGCCUCGUGAACUCAUCUUCGGGGGUAGAGCACUGUUUCGGCUAGGGGGCCAUCCCGGCUUACCAAACCGAUGCAAACUCCGAAUACCGAAGAAUGUUAUCACGGGAGACACACGGCGGGUGCUAACGUCCGUCGUGAAGAGGGAAACAACCCAGACCGCCAGCUAAGGUCCCAAAGUCAUGGUUAAGUGGGAAACGAUGUGGGAAGGCAUAGACAGCCAGGAUGUUGGCUUAGAAGCAGCCAUCAUUUAAAGAAAGCGUAAUAGCUCACUGGUCGAGUCGGCCUGCGCGGAAGAUGUAACGGGGCUAAACCAUGCACCGAAGCUGCGGCAGCGACGCUUAGCGUUGUUGGGUAGGGGAGCGUUCUGUAAGCCGUUGAAGGUGGCCUGUGAGGGUUGCUGGAGGUAUCAGAAGUGCGAAUGCUGACAUAAGUAACGAUAAAGCGGGUGAAAAGCCCGCUCGCCGGAAGACCAAGGGUUCCUGUCCAACGUUAAUCGGGGCAGGGUGAGUCGACCCCUAAGGCGAGGCUGAAAAGCGUAGUCGAUGGGAAACAGGUUAAUAUUCCUGUACUUGGUGUUACUGCGAAGGGGGGACGGAGAAGGCUAGGCUAGCCGGGCGACGGUUGUCCCGGUUUAAGCGUGUAGGGGGUGUGACCUGGUAAAUCCGGUUGCAUAUCAACCCUGAGGCGUGAUGACGAUGCACUACGGUGCAGAAGUAGUUGAUGCCCUGCUUCCAGGAAAAGCCUCUAAGCUCUAGGUAACAUUGAAUCGUACCCCAAACCGACACAGGUGGUCAGGUAGAGAAUACCAAGGCGCUUGAGAGAACUCGGGUGAAGGAACUAGGCAAAAUGGUGCCGUAACUUCGGGAGAAGGCACGCUGGCAUGUAGGUGAAGUCCCUUGCGGAUGGAGCUGAAGCCAGUCGAAGAUACCAGCUGGCUGCAACUGUUUAAUAAAAACACAGCACUGUGCAAACACGAAAGUGGACGUAUACGGUGUGACGCCUGCCCGGUGCUGGAAGGUUAAUUGAUGGGGUCAGCCGCAAGGCGAAGCUCUUGAUCGAAGCCCCAGUAAACGGCGGCCGUAACUAUAACGGUCCUAAGGUAGCGAAAUUCCUUGUCGGGUAAGUUCCGACCUGCACGAAUGGCGUAAUGAUGGCCAGGCUGUCUCCACCCGAGACUCAGUGAAAUUGAACUCGCUGUGAAGAUGCAGUGUACCCGCGGCAAGACGGAAAGACCCCGUGAACCUUUACUAUAGCUUGACACUGAACAUUGAGCCUUGAUGUGUAGGAUAGGUGGGAGGCUUUGAAGCGUGGACGCCAGUCUGCGUGGAGCCAUCCUUGAAAUACCACCCUUUAAUGUUUGAUGUUCUAACUCGGCCCCGUGAUCCGGGGUGAGGACAGUGUCUGGUGGGUAGUUUGACUGGGGCGGUCUCCUCCCAAAGAGUAACGGAGGAGCACGAAGGUUAGCUAAUCACGGUCGGACAUCGUGAGGUUAGUGCAAAGGCAUAAGCUAGCUUGACUGCGAGAGUGACGGCUCGAGCAGGUACGAAAGUAGGUCUUAGUGAUCCGGUGGUUCUGAAUGGAAGGGCCAUCGCUCAACGGAUAAAAGGUACUCCGGGGAUAACAGGCUGAUACCGCCCAAGAGUUCAUAUCGACGGCGGUGUUUGGCACCUCGAUGUCGGCUCAUCACAUCCUGGGGCUGAAGUAGGUCCCAAGGGUAUGGCUGUUCGCCAUUUAAAGUGGUACGCGAGCUGGGUUUAGAACGUCGUGAGACAGUUCGGUCCCUAUCUGCCGUGGGCGUUGGAAGAUUGAGAGGGGUUGCUCCUAGUACGAGAGGACCGGAGUGAACGCACCACUGGUGUUCGGGUUGUCAUGCCAAUGGCAUUGCCCGGUAGCUAAGUGCGGAAAAGAUAAGCGCUGAAAGCAUCUAAGCGCGAAACUUGCCUCAAGAUGAGUCUUCCCU